This 130-nucleotide ribosomal RNA is filed under the name Enterococcus hirae. RNAcentral's name for it is "partial 16S ribosomal RNA". It matches the Rfam family "Bacterial small subunit ribosomal RNA", at positions 36 to 181 of the family's 1533-position model. The record is from RNAcentral. Lineage: Bacteria; Bacillati; Bacillota; Bacilli; Lactobacillales; Enterococcaceae.
CUUGCUGUGUGGAUAAGGCAUGCAAGUCGAACGCAUUUAGUUGCGUGGCGAACGAGGUAGUAACACGUAGGAACGUGCCCCCGAGUCAGGGAUAACCUGGAGAAAUCCAGAAUAAUACCUGAUAGUCCCA